UAUGUGCUUUCUUCGUCCAACAAAGAAUGUCUCUAACUUUGACUAAAUUUGAAUGCAUCUAUAUCCUAAGUCAUGUCUAGAUACAUCUAAAUUUUGACAAAUUUAAGACAUUUUUUGUUAGAUGGAGGAAGUAGCUU
Non-coding RNA from Brachypodium distachyon (stiff brome), 137 nucleotides. The record is from Rfam. Lineage: Eukaryota; Viridiplantae; Streptophyta; Magnoliopsida; Poales; Poaceae.